Molecule: ribosomal RNA, 434 nt
Filed under: uncultured bacterium
Lineage: Bacteria
Description: partial 16S ribosomal RNA
Rfam family: Bacterial small subunit ribosomal RNA
Source: RNAcentral
AGCGAACGCUGGCGGCAGGCCUAACACAUGCAAGUCGAACGAACCUUUCGGGGUUAGUGGCGGACGGGUGAGUAACACGUGGGAACGUGCCUUUAGGUUCGGAAUAACUCAGGGAAACUUGUGCUAAUACCGAAUGUGCCCUUCGGGGGAAAGAUUUAUCGCCUUUAGAGCGGCCCGCGUCUGAUUAGCUAGUUGGUUGAGGUAAUGGCUCACCAAGGCGACGAUCAGUAGCUGGUCUGAGAGGAUGAUCAGCCACAUUGGGACUGAGACACGGCCCAAACUCCUCCGGGAGGCCGCAGUGGGGAAUCUUGCGCAAUGGGCGAAAGCCUGACGCAGCCAUGCCGCGUGAAUGAUGAAGGUCUUAGGAUUGUAAAAUUCUUUCACCGGGGACGAUAAUGACGGUACCCGGAGAAGAAGCCCCGGCUAACUUCGUG